UUGGCUCAGAACGAACGCUGGCGGCAUGCCUAACACAUGCAAGUCGAACGAAGGCUUCGGCCUUAGUGGCGCACGGGUGCGUAACGCGUGGGAAUCUGCCCUUGGGUUCGGAAUAACAGCGGGAAACUGCUGCUAAUACCGGAUGAUGUCGAUAAGACCAAAGAUUUAUCGCCUGAGGAUGAGCCCGCGUUGGAUUAGGUAGUUGGUGGGGUAAAGGCCUACCAAGCCGACGAUCCAUAGCUGGUCUGAGAGGAUGAUCAGCCACACUGGGACUGAGACACGGCCCCA
RNAcentral lists this ribosomal RNA (288 nucleotides) under uncultured Sphingomonas sp. RNAcentral's name for it is "partial 16S ribosomal RNA". It matches the Rfam family "Bacterial small subunit ribosomal RNA", at positions 19 to 333 of the family's 1533-position model. Lineage: Bacteria; Pseudomonadati; Pseudomonadota; Alphaproteobacteria; Sphingomonadales; Sphingomonadaceae. The record is from RNAcentral.